This 455-nucleotide ribosomal RNA is filed under the name uncultured bacterium. Its description in RNAcentral is "bacterial SSU rRNA". It matches the Rfam family "Bacterial small subunit ribosomal RNA", at positions 335 to 800 of the family's 1533-position model. The record is from RNAcentral.
ACUCCUACGGGAGGCAGCAGUGGGGAAUAUUGCACAAUGGGCGGAAGCCUGAUGCAGCGACGCCGCGUGAGGGAUGACGGCCUUCGGGUUGUAAACCUCUUUCAGCAGGGACGAAGCGUAAGUGACGGUACCUGCAGAAGAAGCACCGGCUAACUAUGUGCCAGCAGCCGCGGUAAUACGUAGGGUGCGAGCGUUGUCCGGAAUUACUGGGCGUAAAGAGCUCGUAGGCGGUUUGUCACGUCGUCUGUGAAAUCCUAGGGCUUAACCCUGGACGUGCAGGCGAUACGGGCUGACUUGAGUACUACAGGGGGAGACUGGAAUUUCUGGUGUAGCGGUGGAAUGCACAGAUAUCAGGAAGAACACCGAUGGCGAAGGCAGGUCUCUGGGUAGUAACUGACGCUGAGGAGCGAAAGCAUGGGUAGCGAACAGGAUUAGAUACCCUGGUAGCUACGAGU